Molecule: ribosomal RNA, 395 nt
Filed under: uncultured bacterium
Lineage: Bacteria
Description: partial 16S ribosomal RNA
Rfam family: Bacterial small subunit ribosomal RNA
Source: RNAcentral
AUACGUAGGGUGCAAGCGUUAAUCGGAAUUACUGGGCGUAAAGCGUGCGCAGGCGGUUUUGUAAGACAGUGGUGAAAUCCCCGGGCUCAACCUGGGAACUGCCAUUGUGACUGCAAGGCUGGAGUGCGGCAGAGGGGGAUGGAAUUCCGCGUGUAGCAGGGAAAUGCGUAGAUAUGCGGAGGAACACCGAUGGCGAAGGCAAUCCCCUGGGCCUGCACUGACGCUCAUGCACGAAAGCGUGGGGAGCAAACAGGAUUAGAUACCCUGGUAGUCCACGCCCUAAACGAUGUCAACUGGUUGUUGGGGAUUUAUUUUCUCAGUAACGAAGCUAACGCGUGAAGUUGACCGCCUAGGGAGUACGGCCGCAAGGUUAAAACUCAAAUGAAUUGACGGGG